CAGCAGCCACGGUAAAACGGAGGGGGCUAGCGUUGUUCGGAAUUACUGGGCGUAAAGCGCACGUAGGCGGCUUGGUAAGUUAGAGGUGAAAGCCUGGAGCUCAACUCCAGAAUUGCCUUUAAGACUGCCGAGCUAGCAGGUGAGAGAGGUAAGUGGAAUUCCGAGUGUAGAGGUGAAAUUCGUAGAUAUUCGGAAGAACACCAGUGGCGAAGGCGGCUUACUGGCUCAUACUGGACGCUGAGGUGCGAAAGCGUGGGGAGCAAACAGGAUUAGAUACCCCAGUAGUCCCUGUCUCUUAUAC
RNAcentral lists this ribosomal RNA (301 nucleotides) under uncultured bacterium. RNAcentral describes it as "partial 16S ribosomal RNA". It matches the Rfam family "Bacterial small subunit ribosomal RNA", at positions 509 to 807 of the family's 1533-position model. The record is from RNAcentral.